UACAGAGGUGGCAAGCGUUGUUCGGAAUUACUGGGCGUAAAGGGCGCGUAGGCGGCCUUGUAAGUCUCGUGUGAAAGCCCUCGGCUUAACUGAGGAUCUGCACGGGAUACUGCGAGGCUCGAGUUCGGGAGAGGAAAGCGGAAUUCCGGGUGUAGCGGUGAAAUGCGUAGAUAUCCGGAGGAACACCAGUGGCGAAGGCGGCUUUCUGGACCGACACUGACGCUGAGGCGCGAAAGCUAGGGGAGCAAACGGG
RNAcentral lists this ribosomal RNA (253 nucleotides) under uncultured bacterium. RNAcentral's name for it is "partial 16S ribosomal RNA". It matches the Rfam family "Bacterial small subunit ribosomal RNA", at positions 524 to 776 of the family's 1533-position model. The record is from RNAcentral.